RNAcentral lists this transfer RNA (84 nucleotides) under Candidatus Omnitrophota bacterium. Its description in RNAcentral is "tRNA-Leu". It matches the Rfam family "tRNA". Rfam says of the family: Transfer RNA (tRNA) molecules are approximately 80 nucleotides in length. Their secondary structure includes four short double-helical elements and three loops (D, anti-codon, and T loops). Further hydrogen bonds mediate the characteristic L-shaped molecular structure. tRNAs have two regions of fundamental functional importance: the anti-codon, which is responsible for specific mRNA codon recognition, and the 3' end, to which the tRNAs corresponding amino acid is attached (by aminoacyl-tRNA synthetases). tRNAs cope with the degeneracy of the genetic code in two manners: having more than one tRNA (with a specific anti-codon) for a particular amino acid; and 'wobble' base-pairing, i.e. permitting non-standard base-pairing at the 3rd anti-codon position. RNAcentral also lists the same sequence under 1 other name. Lineage: Bacteria; Pseudomonadati; Candidatus Omnitrophota. The record is from RNAcentral.
GCCGGGAUGGCGGAACUGGCAGACGCGCAGCGCUCAGGACGCUGUGGUAGCAAUACCAUCGGGGUUCGAAUCCCCGUCCCGGCA